AAAAAUCUUACUGUUAUAUUUAUAUUGCAAUUUGUACUAUAGAUAAAAUCUUAAGUACAGCCGUUCUGCUCGAAACGGUACAGCAGUUUUUUAACUGGUGUUAUGAAUUGUAGCAACGCGAGAGUCGGCGUUUUAACAGGCUUGGCGGUCUCUUGAGUGGGUAUCUUGGAAGCAUUAAAGUAGAAAGUAAGCUACUAUGCUAGUUGUAGGGCAAGGGUUACAAUGACAGUGAAUUUAAACUGUUACAAGAUAAGU
This 255-nucleotide non-coding RNA is filed under the name unclassified sequences. Its description in RNAcentral is "ARRPOF RNA". It matches the Rfam family "ARRPOF RNA". The record is from Rfam by way of RNAcentral.